UACGUAGGGUGCAAGCGUUAAUCGGAAUUACUGGGCGUAAAGCGUGCGCAGGCGGCUAUGCAAGACAGAUGUGAAAUCCCCGGGCUCAACCUGGGAACUGCAUUUGUGACUGCAUGGCUAGAGUACGGUAGAGGGGGAUGGAAUUCCGCGUGUAGCAGUGAAAUGCGUAGAUAUCAGGAGGAACAUCGAUGGCGAAGGCAGCCCCUUGGACCUGUACUGACGCUCAUGCACGAAAGCGUGGGGAGCAAACAGG
RNAcentral lists this ribosomal RNA (253 nucleotides) under uncultured bacterium. Its description in RNAcentral is "partial 16S ribosomal RNA". It matches the Rfam family "Bacterial small subunit ribosomal RNA", at positions 524 to 776 of the family's 1533-position model. The record is from RNAcentral.